RNAcentral lists this ribosomal RNA (497 nucleotides) under uncultured bacterium. Its description in RNAcentral is "partial 16S ribosomal RNA". It matches the Rfam family "Bacterial small subunit ribosomal RNA", at positions 28 to 507 of the family's 1533-position model. The record is from RNAcentral.
GACGAACGCUGGCGGCGUGCCUAAUACAUGCGAGUUGAGCGCUGAAGGUUGGUACUUGUACCAACUGGAUGAGCAGCGAACGGGUGAGUAACGCGUGGGGAAUCUGCAUUUGAGCGGGGGACAACAUUUGGAAACGAAUGCUAAUACCGCAUAAAAACUUUAAACACAAGUUUUAAGUUUGAAAGAUGCAAUUGCAUCACUCAAAGAUGAUCCCGCGUUGUAUUAGCUAGUUGGUGAGGUAAAGGCUCACCAAGGCGAUGAUACAUAGCCGACCUGAGAGGGUGAUCGGCCACAAUGGGACUGAGACACGGCCCAAACUCCUACGGGAGGCAGCAGUAGGGAAUCUUCGGAAAUGGACGAAAGGCUGACCGAGCAACGCCGCGGGAGUGAAGAAGGUUUUCGGAUCGUAAAACUCUGUUGGUAGAGAAGAACGUUGGUGAGAGUGGAAAGCUCAUCAAGUGACGGUAACUACCCAGAAAGGGACGGCUAACUACGUG